This 519-nucleotide ribosomal RNA is filed under the name uncultured eukaryote. RNAcentral's name for it is "SSU rRNA". It matches the Rfam family "Eukaryotic small subunit ribosomal RNA", at positions 1161 to 1699 of the family's 1831-position model. The record is from RNAcentral.
AGGGCACCACCAGGAGUGGAGCCUGCGGCUUAAUUUGACUCAACACGGGAAAACUCACCCGGCCCGGACACUGGAAGGAUUGACAGAUUGAGAGCUCUUUCUUGAUUCAGUGGGUGGUGGUGCAUGGCCGUUCUUAGUUGGUGGAGUGAUUUGUCUGGUUAAUUCCGAUAACGAACGAGACUCUAGCCUACUAAAUAGAUCGUCGGCUUACAAACGCCGGCGAGACUUCUUAGAGGGACAGGCGGUGAUUCAACCGCACGAAACAGAGCAAUAACAGGUCUGUGAUGCCCUUAGAUGUCCGGGGCCGCACGCGCGCUACACUGAAGUGAUCAGCGUGCUUUUUCAACCUACUCUGUCAAGAGUGGGGAACCCAAUGAACCUUCUUCGUGAUUGGGAUAGGGGAUUGUAAUUAUUCCCCUUGAACGAGGAAUUCCCAGUAAGCGCGAGUCAUAAGCUCGCGUUGAUUACGUCCCUGCCCUUUGUACACACCGCCCGUCGCUACUACUGAUUGAAUGUUUU